AUGAAUCUCACUGCUCUGCAGCAGGAGCGCGCCCCCUCUUCGGCGCUGCUCGGUGAGAAAGGACUUGAUUCGGCUGCUUCAUCCACUACCCCAACCCCACUGGAUACUCCUGUCGCGCCCCAUAGCCGCCUCGUGGCCGUGGCGCUCACCCCAUCAUCGACCAUCGGCGUGGUCUUCUCCGGUGGUGACGGCAAGUUCGUCGGCUCCGCCACCCCUGCGACGACCAUCACCAUGCCUGCAGUCCUCCCUGACACCUAUUCACCCGCUGCAAGGACGCACAAGGUCGUUGAGGUGCUCUGUGAUGUGUCUCCUGACUGCAUCGUCAUUGCGCCCGGGACCUGUUCGACAGAAUGCUCGAACCAAGUCGGUGCCAAGUCGCUUCCGCCUCCAGUCACGGCGGCAUCACUACUCCCAAAAGCCACAUGUGCGCUCGUCGCCGACCUCGUUCAUCCUGCUACCAAUGCUGUAGCUGCAAUGCAGCCAUUCCUGGACCAUGAGCUGGACGUCUUUCCGCACACAAGGCAUCAGGGGCUGCUGCUACGGCCGACGCCAUGGCCAUCGUUUUGGAUGGAGUCUGUAGAGGGAAACGAGGUACAACCCAUUCCGUGGCCGUCGUUUCCAUUUGGAAGGUUCAUGGAGCAUAUAUGUCUGCUUGUUCAAGUGCAUCACAUUGGUUUGAUUAGUAGUACCUUUCCAUUGGACUUAUGCCAUGUUGGAGAUCUUGUCUGCAACCUUCCUCGACACUGCAUGAGGGUACUACCUGUUCAGAUUUUCUGCUUGUGGUGUUUGAAAGCGAACAAUGGCGAUUCAUGUUUCACUAAGCGGCUGUUACAUGAAGGACGCUCAAGCAGUUCUUUCCUUCAGUUCAUGCAAUCUGGACCGUAUGAACUAGGCUGCUGUGGUGACAUCAGUUGUCCAUUCAGUACACUGGACCUUUGCAUGGAGAAAAAUUCACAAAAUACUCUUAUGAUGCCUUGUAAUGUAUUACUGGACAAGGGAUGUUUACAGUAUUACAGGGUUUAUGGAGAAACCAGUUCAAAAAUGCUGCAAUCAUCACAUAUUCAGUGUGUACAGCCAAACUGUUACUUUGGGGUUGGUGUUGCCCAAGCAUAUCUGAAACAGAAGGAAACCAAUGCUGCUGUUGUUGACGUGUUGGAGCAUAGAAAUAGAACUCAUCAGGACCAUGAGUUACUUCUCUAUUUCCAGCAUCCACCUGAUCCAGCAAGUAUUUGGGAGUGCAUGACUAGCCGAAGCUUUCAUCGGGGCCAAACCUUAUUGGUCAUUUUUCAUUCAGGGCCACCACCUCACAUUAUCUCUCUGAUGGCAGUCUACUAUUAUGAUCUGAUUCUCAUGGAGGAGCACUUCGGUUGUUUGCAGAAUGCACAGUUGCAGUCUUGGUGUCUACUGGAUCAAAGAACAUAUCAUGAUAAACAGUUAAAUCAAGAAGGUUACAGUUGGACAGUGGCUCAGGGAACAUCUUGUAUUCACACAUUUCAUACAGGUUAUCUGAUCUAUGUGAAUUUUAUCAACACUACAAUGUUGGGUUCAGAGGCGAUACACGGGAAGCAAUUAAACUACAAGGGCUUGGUGUCAUAUUCAUGUUGUGUGCUACAGCAACGGGAGGGUACUGAAUAUCUUGUCCAUGGUACUGUUUCUGCUGAAUUUUAUUUGAAGAAGUACCCAUUGGUGAGGAAGCUGGAUAGAAGUGGUUCAAAUAAUUCCGUUGUUAGUACCCUUAUUUCCCUCAUGCAUAGCAGUAACAAUUGUUCUCUUCGGAAUCUCCUAUUACUUGCCUGGUUGGAUUCAGCUACAAGCCCCAGGCCCUAUGGAUGUUUUCCUGAGAAGAAUGCAUAG
This 1854-nucleotide ribosomal RNA is filed under the name Triticum aestivum (bread wheat). RNAcentral's name for it is "partial small subunit ribosomal RNA". Lineage: Eukaryota; Viridiplantae; Streptophyta; Magnoliopsida; Poales; Poaceae. The record is from RNAcentral.